This 799-nucleotide long non-coding RNA is filed under the name Homo sapiens (human). RNAcentral's name for it is "PREDICTED lncRNA (TCONS_00262185)". The record is from RNAcentral. Lineage: Eukaryota; Metazoa; Chordata; Mammalia; Primates; Hominidae.
GGCCGGGGCCCUGCACCGGAAGGGAGGGCGGAAGCCACGGGACGUGGAGCAGAUGGUGAGGAUAGUGGGGAGGUAGCAGCAGAGGAUGACCCGAGGCAAAAGUGCAAGUGAAGAAAAGUCGCCUUGCCGGGCAGAGGUACGGGACCAAGGCGCCUCCUCUGGGCUGAGGAGUUAGAGGGAAGAAAAUGGCGCCCUGUCAUGAGGGCGCGAGGUCCGAGUUGAGGGGAGAAGACUGAGGGACACAGAAGUGGCCGAAGUGAGGGCGCUGAGGUCAGCCUGAGCUGAGAGGGCCGGCAGAUCACGCCGCAGCCGAAGUGAACGAACUCGAGUGAGCUCUUCUCUUUUUCAGGAAAUUACUCCAGGAUUUGAAUCAUCACAAGAGAUUCACCAGAGGAUUUUAUACACUUGGGCUGUGGCAGCAGACUAAUUACAUCACAGCACUAGAGUCUUCACCAGCUCCGGAAAAGAAUAUUUUUAAUCACUGCAGUCGCUUAGGAUAACAGGGUUAUCUUUGGAAAUUCCUGCCCUCUCGUGUCCAGUAUAGAGAACUACUUUUGUGUUCUCUAAGGCUGUGAAUGUUAGCGGACAACCAGGAGCAUUUUAGGGCCUCAGCAGAAAGGAGACUGAACCAGUUCCAUGAAAACAUUCUCCUAUCUAAUAAAUCAAAAAAUCAUGACUGGCUUCCAUCAGUUCAGGAGUCUCCACACAAAUGUUUUGACAGUGGAACAAGAGACAGUCAAGGACAGUUUUAUCAGUGACAUCUACCUUCCAAUAGCAAAAACCAUCAACCGCACGGUAA